GGAGUUUUGCAGUAACACUAACACUAGAUACAGAUACGUAAUUGAUGAUUACUAUACCUCAGAAGUGCUAAGAAAAUAAACCUUAAGUACUUUCUAAUGUUCAAAAAGUUUAAGAUAACUAAUUACACACCAAAAAUAUAGUUUGCAUAAACUUUCAGUCAUUGAGUUAUAUUUUUUACCUACCACCAAAACAUUAACCCCGUAGUAUCGCAUGACCAAAUUCAUUCACUUUUAAACUGUUUUCUUUGUCACCUUUGUUACAUUUUCAUUCUUGUCUCCAAACUCAAACUUGAUUGUAUCUCCCUUCUUUCAAUCUGUUUUCACAACAGAAUUUUUUACAGCAUCUUCCAAUUUUCAUUGAUUUCCUCUGCGAAUCAGCAGAUGACAAAUCUCUUAACUCAUUUAGCAUUCAUUAAAUUAUAGAGUUUGGAAUUUAGAUUCCCAUGAAAAAUCAGCAAAUUUUGGAGAAAAACUCUGAAUCCCAAAAUGAUAUCGGUUAUGCACAUAAUAAGUAAGUUGGAAAUUAUAAUUUCAGUAUGUUUAUGUUUUGAUUUUGCGAUAUGAUAACUUUAGUAAGUUGGAAAUGACCUUUUAGCCCUUGAUAAAAGUUAAACAGAAAGAGAACAAAAGGGUUUUUACCCAGAAGAGUGCAAGCUAUGAAUUAGAAGGUGUGAGUCCGACAAGUGCUGCGGUCCAAUAUCGUGUUUGAGUCUUUGAGACAGUGUUGACAGUUGCUUUGUUCUCGUCGGUGGUGCAAACGGGGAGAUCGUAGGUGUGUUGAAGACAUCGACAGUUUCUCAGCAUGUUUUCAGUGAUGAUUGCGGAGAAGGCUAAGAAAGCUGUAGAAGGAGGAUCUUCCCACUUCAAUUUAACAACAUUCGCUUUGCAAACACAAACAAAAUUCGUCUAGCUAAACCCCGUCCACGAGCACUUCCCGUUGGCACCAUAAAUGCAUAAUGCCUCCAAGUAAAACACAUGAACCUCAGGUUAAAACAACUAAAUAACUUAAUAGUAUUUUAAGUUGGAGAAAGCUGUUCCCAGUAACA
This 1046-nucleotide long non-coding RNA is filed under the name Glycine max (soybean). RNAcentral describes it as "long non-coding RNA (GMAX_LNC004435)". Lineage: Eukaryota; Viridiplantae; Streptophyta; Magnoliopsida; Fabales; Fabaceae. The record is from RNAcentral.